UACGGAGGGGGCGAGCGUUAUUCGGAAUUAUUGGGCGUAAAGGGUGCGCAGGCGGCCAAGUGUGUGAGGCGUGAAAGCCCGGGGCUUAACCCCGGAAUUGCACCUCAAACUACUCGGCUAGAGCAUUGGAGAGGGUAGCAGAAUUCAUGGUGUAGCAGUGAAAUGCGUAGAUAUCAUGAGGAAUACCAGAGGCGAAGGCGGCUACCUGGACAAUUGCUGACGCUCAGGCACGAAAGCGUGGGGAGCAAAAGGG
Molecule: ribosomal RNA, 253 nt
Filed under: uncultured bacterium
Lineage: Bacteria
Description: partial 16S ribosomal RNA
Rfam family: Bacterial small subunit ribosomal RNA
Source: RNAcentral